AGUGAACGCUGGCGGUAGGCCUAACACAUGCAAGUCGAACGGCAGCACAGGAGAGCUUGCUCUCUGGGUGGCGAGUGGCGGACGGGUGAGGAAUACAUCGGAAUCUACUCUGUCGUGGGGGAUAACGUAGGGAAACUUACGCUAAUACCGCAUACGACCUACGGGUGAAAGCAGGGGAUCUUCGGACCUUGCGCGAUUGAAUGAGCCGAUGUCGGAUUAGCUAGUUGGCGGGGUAAAGGCUCACCACGGCGACGAUCCGUAGCUGGUCUGAGAGGAUGAUAAGCCACACGGGAACUGAGACACGGUCCAGACUCCUACGGGAGACAGCAGUGGGGAAUAUUGGACAAUGGGCGCAAGCCUGAUCCAGCCAUACCGCGUGGGUGAAGAAGGCCUUCGGGUUGUAAAGCCCUUUUGUUGGGAAAGAAAUCCAGCUGGCUAAUACCCGGUUGGGAUGACGGUACCCAAAGAAUAAGCACCGGCUAACUUCGUGCCAGCCGCCGCCGUAA
RNAcentral lists this ribosomal RNA (506 nucleotides) under uncultured bacterium. Its description in RNAcentral is "partial 16S ribosomal RNA". It matches the Rfam family "Bacterial small subunit ribosomal RNA", at positions 29 to 523 of the family's 1533-position model. The record is from RNAcentral.